UGUUGAGGUUGUGUCAGACACUUCACAGAAAUCAAAAGCUUCUGUUUGGCAGCAGAGGUCCAGAAGGAUAAAGCCACACCAUGACAAAGGAGCAUCAAAAACUUCACAGGCAUCAAAAGCACAGCCCAAAACCAAAAUCAAAGGAACAGACAGUGUUGAAGUUGUGUCAGACACUUCAGUAUAUUAUAUUACUACUACACAGGUACUGCAAGGUGAAAGUAGAAAUGCACAGUCUCCUGUGAGGGGUAGGUGUUAGGUGUAGGGUAGGUGUAGGGCAAUAGCACAUACAGUUUGUACAGUAUAAAAACCAUUACGC
Cyprinus carpio carpio is the source of this 316-nucleotide long non-coding RNA. NCBI's taxonomy places the organism in Eukaryota, Metazoa, Chordata, Actinopteri, Cypriniformes, Cyprinidae. The record is from Ensembl.